AGCUUUGCGCAGUGGCAGUAUCAUAGCCAAUGAGGUUUAUCUGAGGCGCGAUUAUUGCUAAUUGAAAAGCUACAUAGGAGCUCACAGAAUCAAAGGAGCCAACUUGGAAAGGGUAGGAACCA
Small nuclear RNA from Cercocebus atys (sooty mangabey), 122 nucleotides. Its record names the gene U4. It matches the Rfam family "U4 spliceosomal RNA". Rfam says of the family: U4 small nuclear RNA (U4 snRNA) is a component of the major U2-dependent spliceosome. The structure of U4 snRNA from yeast and human has been reported. NCBI's taxonomy places the organism in Eukaryota, Metazoa, Chordata, Mammalia, Primates, Cercopithecidae. The record is from Ensembl.